UACGUAGGUGGCAAGCGUUGUCCGGAAUUAUUGGGCGUAAAGCGCGCGCAGGCGGUUUCUUAAGUCUGAUGUGAAAGCCCACGGCGCAACCGUGGAGGGUCAUUGGAAACUGGGGAACUUGAGUGCAGAAGAGGAGAGCGGAAUUCCACGUGUAGCGGUGAAAUGCGUAGAGAUGUGGAGGAACACCAGUGGCGAAGGCGGCUCUCUGGUCUGUAACUGACGCUGAGGCGCGAAAGCGUGGGGAGCAAACAGG
This 253-nucleotide ribosomal RNA is filed under the name uncultured bacterium. Its description in RNAcentral is "partial 16S ribosomal RNA". It matches the Rfam family "Bacterial small subunit ribosomal RNA", at positions 524 to 776 of the family's 1533-position model. The record is from RNAcentral.